Non-coding RNA from Oryza glumipatula, 150 nucleotides. The record is from Rfam. NCBI's taxonomy places the organism in Eukaryota, Viridiplantae, Streptophyta, Magnoliopsida, Poales, Poaceae.
CUUUGUGAUCUUCCACAGCUUUCUUGAACUGCACGCAUGAUGAAUUCCCUGUGGUUGAUUAUGAUCUGGUUUCUGAGAGAUCAUAGAUCGCUUUGGUUUGCAUUGGCAUCAGAGAGAGCAGUUCAAUAAAGCUGUGGGAAAUUGCAGAGA